AAAUGUUCAUUCUCCCGAAAUUUUAGUAGACACUGAUGUAUUCCUGCCGCCAGCUCCCAGUGAUGAUGAGGAGGCUCAUGGCCGCUUCUGCUCUGGAGGUGUCGUCUUGGCCUCCCGAGAUGGAAAGAUUGUCUGUGAAAACACACUCGACGCCAGGCUGGAUCUUGUCUUCAGGAGGAAACUGCCAGAGAUUCGGAGAAUGCUUUUCGGCCAGAUUGCUGCUUGAACAGUCGUGAUGCCACUUGAUUGAACUCCUCUUAUCGGAUAUGCUUUAUCCACCAGUGCCAGACUGUUUUCUGUGCUUAUCUUUUGGUCUUGAGGGUAUCAUACCAGAUUAUCCACCAGUGUGAGACUGUAAACUGUGUUUUAUAUUUUGUACCAGAGAGUAUCAUGCGGUAACUUGUUUUAAGUUAUA
RNAcentral lists this unclassified non-coding RNA (415 nucleotides) under Hevea brasiliensis (rubber tree). Lineage: Eukaryota; Viridiplantae; Streptophyta; Magnoliopsida; Malpighiales; Euphorbiaceae. The record is from RNAcentral.